AAAGUGGUCUCUCAUUUUUUGAAUUAGAUAAAUAAAUAAAAGAGAGACCAUCUAUUUACAAAAGUGGUCUCUCCUUUUUUUAAUUAAAUAAAUAAAUAAAAGAAAGACCAUCUAUUUACAAAAGUGGUCUCUCCUUUUUUUAGUUAAAUAAAAAAUCAUCGAUUUACAAAGUCAGGUUCCAAAAAAAAAAAUUAAAACUCUAAAAACUCGGCAAAGAGGAAAACCCAAACCCUAAUUUCAUUUCCUAAAAAAACCCAUACCCCCACCCCCUCUCUCCCCCCUCUCUCUCUCUCUCUACACCUCCGGCCGCAAAUUCCACCAAUAUCUUCAUCGGCGGUGCCGAAAUCACUCAUCCAAACCUAUUCAUCAGCAACGUCAUCACCUUAACGAAAUCACUCAUCCAAAGCUCGUCGACGCCGGAAUCCGACUCCGAUUAAGCGGCUACAGCUUCCUCGCUAUCGCAAUCCCUAACCAAAUGCUGAAGUUCGUCGAUCUCGAGUCUUUGCUGCCGUCGACGGUGCUUCUAGCGAAACUCUCACCAUCACAACUCCAGACGGUUGCUCGCGGCUUCACUCUCUCCCUCUCACAGUUGCUCCACCAGAGCAAGUAACGUCGUCGUUGUCACGCUGGGCCACCACCUGCUCUUCCCAUCAUUCCAUUAAAGGUUGCAGGUAUUUCCCUCGAUUUGUACAUAUUCUUCGGAAGACAUUGAUGAAAUGCCAGAUUUGUGGAUUAAAUAUGUUCUUUUUUGAAGAAGAUUCGUGAUAAAUGAGCUUAAUGAUGAAUGAGUUGAGCUUCAGUACGAGAUUAGCUUAGUGUUAAUCAUUAUACUUGUGAAUUUAGCUCCACUUUUGAAACUUUUUUUUUUUUAAGGAAAAGCUCUACUUUUGAAUAUUAGAAUUAAUGUAAAUUUUGGGUUAUGUUGGAGAGAAUUAGUUUUUGUAUUAAAGCUUUUAUAUUUAUAUA
Chenopodium quinoa (quinoa) is the source of this 966-nucleotide long non-coding RNA. RefSeq lists it as uncharacterized. The record is from RefSeq and is a predicted model, not a curated record. NCBI's taxonomy places the organism in Eukaryota, Viridiplantae, Streptophyta, Magnoliopsida, Caryophyllales, Amaranthaceae. The transcript is spliced from 2 exons.